UUUUCCAACAAGGGCAUCCAGCUUGUUUCAUAACAGACAACAGUGACGCUGAGCGUAAUGCCUUGAAGACUGUAUGGCCAGAAUCUCAGCGCUUUCUGUGCAUAUUCCACAUCCUGCAGCAGGUCUGGAGGUGGCUGUGUGAUGGUUCACAUGGCAUCAAGAAGGAAGAUCGCCGAGUACUAAUGACAGUGGCAAAGAAUCUGGUAUAUGCUGAUUCAGAUGAAACAUUUCAAGAUGAAUGGAAUUGCUUUUGUCAGACCCCAGAAGCCCAAAAGUAUAACCAGUACAUGAGGUAUCUGGCAAAGCUGAUAGAAAGGAAGGAAGAAUGGAGUACUGUGUACAGGGCUGGAUUUUUGCUACGUGGACACCACACAAAUAAUUUUGCAGAAUCUACCAUGUGCAUCAUUAAAGAUAUCAUUCUCAACAGAUGUAAAGCCUACAACACGACUCAACUGAUCAUGUUUAUGAAUGAAAUAUUUGAUGAAUAUAUGAAACAACGCCUCAUUGAUGUGUCUCUCUGUAGAAGGAAAGUAGUGAAGCCACCAACUGGGAUUUCCAUUAGUAAGGAAAGC
This is a long non-coding RNA of Eriocheir sinensis (Chinese mitten crab), 572 nucleotides long. RefSeq lists it as uncharacterized. NCBI's taxonomy places the organism in Eukaryota, Metazoa, Arthropoda, Malacostraca, Decapoda, Varunidae. The record is from RefSeq and is a predicted model, not a curated record. The transcript is spliced from 3 exons.